This 671-nucleotide ribosomal RNA is filed under the name Alteromonas sp. L-28. RNAcentral describes it as "bacterial SSU rRNA". It matches the Rfam family "Bacterial small subunit ribosomal RNA", at positions 207 to 864 of the family's 1533-position model. The record is from RNAcentral. Lineage: Bacteria; Pseudomonadati; Pseudomonadota; Gammaproteobacteria; Alteromonadales; Alteromonadaceae.
GGGGCUUUUAGCUCCGGCGCAAAGAGAGGCCCAAGUGAGAUUAGCUAGUUGGUAAGGUAACGGCUUACCAAGGCGACGAUCUCUAGCUGUUCUGAGAGGAAGAUCAGCCACACUGGGACUGAGACACGGCCCAGACUCCUACGGGAGGCAGCAGUGGGGAAUAUUGCACAAUGGGGGAAACCCUGAUGCAGCCAUGCCGCGUGUGUGAAGAAGGCCUUCGGGUUGUAAAGCACUUUCAGUUGUGAGGAAAAGUUAGUAGUUAAUACCUGCUAGCCGUGACGUUAACAACAGAAGAAGCACCGGCUAACUCCGUGCCAGCAGCCGCGGUAAUACGGAGGGUGCGAGCGUUAAUCGGAAUUACUGGGCGUAAAGCGCACGCAGGCGGUUUGUUAAGCUAGAUGUGAAAGCCCCGGGCUCAACCUGGGAUGGUCAUUUAGAACUGGCAGACUAGAGUCUUGGAGAGGGGAGUGGAAUUCCAGGUGUAGCGGUGAAAUGCGUAGAUAUCUGGAGGAACAUCAGUGGCGAAGGCGACUCCCUGGCCAAAGACUGACGCUCAUGUGCGAAAGUGUGGGUAGCGAACAGGAUUAGAUACCCUGGUAGUCCACACCGUAAACGCUGUCUACUAGCUGUGUGUGCCUUUAAGGCGUGCGUAGCGAAGCUAACGCGCUAAG